AGAACGCAGCGAAAUGCGAUAAGUAAUGUGAAUUGCAGAAUUCAGUGAAUCAUCGAAUCUUUGAACGCACCUUGCGCUCCAUGGUAUUCCGUGGAGCAUGCCUGUUUGAGUGUCAUGAAUACUUCAACCCUCCUCUUUCUUAAUGAUUGAAGAGGUGUUUGGUUUCUGAGCGCUGCUGGCCUUUAGGGUCUAGCUCGUUCGUAAUGCAUUAGCAUCCGCAAUCGAACUUCGGAUUGACUUGGCGUAAUAGACUAUUCGCUGAGGAAUUCUAGUCUUCGGACUAGAGCCGGGUUGGGUUAAAGGAAGCUUCUAAUCAGAAUGUCUACAUUUUAAGAUUAGAUCUCAAAUCAGGUAGGACUACCCGCUGAACUUAAGCAUAUCAAUA
RNAcentral lists this ribosomal RNA (385 nucleotides) under uncultured Sporidiobolales. Its description in RNAcentral is "eukaryotic LSU rRNA". The stretch from base 1 to 115 matches the Rfam family "5.8S ribosomal RNA", at positions 40 to 154 of the family's 154-position model. Lineage: Eukaryota; Fungi; Basidiomycota; Microbotryomycetes; Sporidiobolales. The record is from RNAcentral.